UACGGAGGAUGCGAGCGUUAUCCGGAUUUAUUGGGUUUAAAGGGUGCGUAGGCGGAAGAUUAAGUCAGUGGUGAAAGUUUGAGGCUCAACCUUAAAAUUGCCAUUGAAACUGGUUUUCUUGAGUAUAUUUGAAGUAGGCGGAAUUCGUGGUGUAGCGGUGAAAUGCAUAGAUAUCACGAGGAACUCCAAUUGCGUAGGCAGCUUACUAAACUAUAACUGACGCUGAGGCACGAAAGCGUGGGUAUCAAACAGG
RNAcentral lists this ribosomal RNA (253 nucleotides) under uncultured bacterium. RNAcentral's name for it is "partial 16S ribosomal RNA". It matches the Rfam family "Bacterial small subunit ribosomal RNA", at positions 524 to 776 of the family's 1533-position model. The record is from RNAcentral.